UCUCUCUCUCUCAAUCUUAAAAUCCAAAAUAAAAUCCCAAAACAGAAACUCCAAUCUUCUUCCCCCCUCUCUCACUCACCGGCGAUUCUCCAUGGCGCCACCGUCGUUGUCCCCUUCGCAGGAAACACUGCAGUGUCAGCGCCGACUCCACCGCCGCAACCUGCUGUCGUCGCCAUGGAAGCUCCAGGCGCCGCCGUCGCGACUCACCGCGAGUCGCCGGCUCUCCUCCCUUUGCGACUGAGCACGAUGAUUCAAAAUUAUCCUAAAUGAAUGCAAGAAAUUCGAUGCUAAGGAUUGAUCGGAUGAUUACCUUCUUAGGCGGCAGAAAAUUCUCUUCUCCUACUCGUUCUUUCUUUAUAUUUUUUUUCAAGGUUUCUGAAUGGUGGGAAACUUGUGGAGGUAUAUAUAUUCACAUAUAAAUUGUAGAUUUGAAACUGAUAACUGAUAUGGAGUAGUUGAGAUAUAUAAUAAAUUCUGUGGAGAUUUGGUUUGU
Molecule: long non-coding RNA, 493 nt
Organism: Salvia splendens (bonfire salvia)
Lineage: Eukaryota; Viridiplantae; Streptophyta; Magnoliopsida; Lamiales; Lamiaceae
Exons: 2
Source: RefSeq, a predicted model, not a curated record